This 31-nucleotide transfer RNA is filed under the name Micromonas pusilla. RNAcentral's name for it is "partial Selenocysteine transfer RNA". Lineage: Eukaryota; Viridiplantae; Chlorophyta; Mamiellophyceae; Mamiellales; Mamiellaceae. The record is from RNAcentral.
UCUCGUGCCCGGUGUCGGGUCUGGACUUCAA